AGUGAACGCUGGCGGCAGGCCUAACACAUGCAAGUCGAACGGCAGCACAGCCCCGCAAGGGGUGGGUGGCGAGUGGCGGACGGGUGAGGAAUACAUCGGAAUCUACCCAGUCGUGGGGGA
RNAcentral lists this ribosomal RNA (120 nucleotides) under uncultured bacterium. RNAcentral's name for it is "partial 16S ribosomal RNA". It matches the Rfam family "Bacterial small subunit ribosomal RNA", at positions 29 to 143 of the family's 1533-position model. The record is from RNAcentral.